This 935-nucleotide long non-coding RNA is filed under the name Pongo abelii (Sumatran orangutan). RNAcentral describes it as "lncRNA (ENSPPYG00000008019.2)". Lineage: Eukaryota; Metazoa; Chordata; Mammalia; Primates; Hominidae. The record is from RNAcentral.
CUUUUCAUUCCCGUUGUCAUGGAGGGCCACAUCUGCCAGAGCCUGGAGUCUGCGAAGGCCGGGACCCGGUUCCCCGGCCCGCCGUGGGGAGUGUGCAAACCCGAGAGAACUGGAUUGCGUACCCACUGCAGAGGGCUGAAGACGGGGUAGCCACGAGGUUGCAAAUUCGUGAAGAAUCAGCAGCAUGUUUGGCAGCUGAGUAUUGGAGCCAGGAGCCUGCCAUGAGGUUUUGAGAACAGGGUGCUGUUUUAGAGCUGGCAGCAGCAUCUCAGCCCAAGAGAAGGUUAUAUUCCCAGAGGAUGUCAGUCCCAAGGACCAGUAGCUGCCAUCAGUUUGGAUUCUGAAAACUAACCGGCAUCAACAUUGGGUGUAGAAACAUGCUUGCCUUGUGUAUCAGAGGACAUGCUCAGCAGAUCCAAGAGAUAUAUUUGGCAACUUUUUCUAGAAAAGGCACAUUAGGUAUCAUUCAUUACAUUCUUGAGUUUUUUUGGGGUUUUUUUUUUUUUUGAGACAGUCUUGCUGUGUUGCCCAGGCUGGAGUGUGGUGGCACAAUCACAGCUCAUUGCAGCCUCAAUCACCCAGGCCUAAGCAAUCCUCCCACCUUGUAGCUGGGACUACAGCUCACAGCACACCUGGCUAAAAUUUUUUUUUGUUGAGACGGAUUCUCUAUGUUGCUCAGGCUGGUCUCAAGCUCCUGGGCUUAGAUGGUCCUCCUGCCUCAGCUUCCAAAGGCACAGGCCAAGUUGUAGCUUUGUCCCUUGCCAUCAUGCCCAACAAGAGGUUCUAUACCUUUUAAUGAACUGACUUUCAUAAAUUGGUUAUGUUGGUGGGCAAGUUCUUUAAGCUGGAAAUUGUAAAUUCCUCCUGAAAUGUUUUUUCAUGCAGUUACCAUGAACUAAUACUACAAUAAAGGAUGGUCUUGGGUGUCAAUUCUU